UGGGGAAUUUUGGACAAUGGGCGAAAGCCUGAUCCAGCAAUGCCGCGUGUGUGAAGAAGGCCUUCGGGUUGUAAAGCACUUUUGUCCGGAAAGAAAAUCCUUGGCUCUAAUACAGUCGGGGGGAUGACGGUACCGGAAGAAUAAGCACCGGCUAACUACGUGCCAGCAGCCGCGGUAAUACGUAGGGUGCAAGCGUUAAUCGGAAUUACUGGGCGUAAAGCGUGCGCAGGCGGUUUGCUAAGACCGAUGUGAAAUCCCCGGGCUCAACCUUGGGAACUGCAUUGGUGACUGGCAGGCUAGAGUAUGGCAGAGGGGGGUAGAAUUCCACGUNUAGCAGUGAAAUGCGUAGAGAUGUGGAGGAAUACCGAUGGCGAAGGCAGCCCCCUGGGC
RNAcentral lists this ribosomal RNA (390 nucleotides) under uncultured bacterium. RNAcentral's name for it is "partial 16S ribosomal RNA". It matches the Rfam family "Bacterial small subunit ribosomal RNA", at positions 355 to 734 of the family's 1533-position model. The record is from RNAcentral.